GGAGCAAUCAGGUGCAACGAGAACAGGUGCAUUACAUAAAAGCAUUUUAACGCAAUCGAAAGCAUUCUGACACUCCGCAGACCAUUCAAAUUUUUUAGAUGGACAAAGUAAUGAAGUGAGAGGGGUAACAACGGUUGAGAAAUUUUUACAGAAACUGCGGUAAUAACCAGCCAUACCUAGAAAUCUUCGCAACUCUCGUCGAGUCGCAGGGACUGGAAACUCUGCAAUAGCAGUAACCUUCACUUCCACUGGUCGUACGUAGCCUUGUCCAACCUCUUUACCCAAAUAAGUGACAGUCGCUCGACCAAACUCACACUUUGCCAAGUUGAGAGUUAAAUUAGCUGCACGUAGACGUUCGAACACCGUUCUCAACAAACUCACAUGUUCCUCCCAAGUCACAGAAUAUAACACUAAAUCAUCAAGAUAUGCAUUGCAAUUCGGUACAUCAGCCAAGACGAUAUUUACAAGACGCUGAAAAGUGGCUGGAGCGUUUCUGAGUCCGAAAGCCAUCGCUGUAUAUUGAAGGAACUUAUCUGGUGUUACAAAUGCUGAAAUGUCUGACGCUUGUGAAGUAAGUGGUACCUGCCAGUACCCUUUCAACAUAUCCAGCUUAGUAACAAAACGAGCAGACCGCAGAUUAUCAACACAGUCCUCCAUGCGGGGUAACGGAUAACUGUCUGGCACCGUUACGGCGUUCACUUUUCGAAAAUCAGUGCAAAACCUAAACGUACCGUCAGGUUUAGGCACAAGGAGACAAGGAGAGCUCCAGGGACUGCAACUAGGUCUGGCUAAGUCAUUUUCAAGCAGAUAAUUCACUUCUUGACGCAUAAUAGAUUUCUUGACUGCAUUUAUGCGAUAAGCAUUUUGCUUAAUAGGACGAGCACCGUUUACAACAAUAUCAUGCUGUAAGACAUUUGUUUGUUUAGGAACAUCACUAAACAGACAAUUAAAAUCGAAUAUUAUUUGAACAAUGUCAGUUUCCUGGUCAGCAGUUAAAUGAUUGAGAUACGAGUGAAGAUCUUCUAAAAUUUCUGAGUUGGCUAACCUUGCACACUGCUGAGGAGCGUUGCGAAGCACGACACCAUCCUCGUCAGCCCCUGAGAUACCAGAAAAUGGUUUCAGUUCCACGGCUAUUGCGACAGAAGAGACCGCGGGCCCUGCAGUUUCAUCUGAAGCUUUCACCUCAGGCAUCUCCCUGUCAUGGACCAAAGAAACGGGCAGACAAAGAUGAUCCAGGAACAG
Pimephales promelas (fathead minnow) is the source of this 1242-nucleotide non-coding RNA. NCBI's taxonomy places the organism in Eukaryota, Metazoa, Chordata, Actinopteri, Cypriniformes, Leuciscidae. The record is from RefSeq and is a predicted model, not a curated record.